This 508-nucleotide ribosomal RNA is filed under the name uncultured bacterium. Its description in RNAcentral is "bacterial SSU rRNA". It matches the Rfam family "Bacterial small subunit ribosomal RNA", at positions 16 to 518 of the family's 1533-position model. The record is from RNAcentral.
AUCCUGGCUCAGGAUGAACGCUAGCGGCAGGCUUAACACAUGCAAGUCGAGGGGCAUCGGGAGUAGCAAUACUGCCGGCGACCGGCGCAAGGGUGCGUAACGCGUGAGCAACAUGCCCGUAUCAGGGGGAUAAUCCAUGGAAACGUGGUCUAAUACCCCAUAGUAAUUAUGUAAGGCAUCUUAUAUAAUUUAAAGCUUUGGUGGAUACGGAUUGGCUCGCGUGACAUUAGCUGGAUGGUAAGGUAACGGCUUACCAUGGCUACGAUGUCUAGGGGUUCUGAGAGGAAGGUCCCCCCACACUGGAACUGAGACACGGUCCAGACUCCUACGGGAGGCAGCAGUGAGGAAUAUUGGACAAUGGAUGGAAAUCUGAUCCAGCCAUGCCGCGUGCAAGGAAGACGGCCCUAUGGGUUGUAAACUGCUUUUGUAUGGGAGCAAUAAGGGCUACGUGUAGUCCGAUGAGAGUACCAUACGAAUAAGCACCGGCUAACUCCGUGCCAGCCGCCGC